RNAcentral lists this ribosomal RNA (514 nucleotides) under uncultured Candida. RNAcentral's name for it is "eukaryotic LSU rRNA". It matches the Rfam family "Eukaryotic large subunit ribosomal RNA", at positions 62 to 668 of the family's 3401-position model. The record is from RNAcentral. Lineage: Eukaryota; Fungi; Ascomycota; Saccharomycetes; Saccharomycetales.
AAACCAACAGGAUUGCCUCAGUAACGGCGAGUGAAGCGGCAAAAGCUCAAAUUUGAAACCACUCCGGUGGGUUGUAAUUUGAAGAUUGUGUUCUGGACACGACCACGCCUAUGUUCCUUGGAACAGGACGUCACAGAGGGUGAGAAUCCCGUGCGGCGUGGCCCCCGUGUCUGUAUAGUUCACUCUCGACGAGUCGAGUUGUUUGGGAAUGCAGCUCAAAGUGGGUGGUAAAUUCCAUCUAAAGCUAAAUAUUGGCGAGAGACCGAUAGCGAACAAGUACAGUGAUGGAAAGAUGAAAAGCACUUUGAAAAGAGAGUGAAACAGUACGUGAAAUUGUUGAAAGGGAAGGGCAUGCCGUCAGAUUGCCAGUAUCGAUUGCCGGGAAGGACAAAGGCCAGGGAACGUAGCUCGCAAGAGUGUUAUAGCCCGGGCUCCUGCUUCCCCCAGCGAUCGAGGACUGCUUUCAGGAUACUGGCGUAAUGACGGUACGCCGCCCGUCUUGAAACACGGACCC